GAUGAACGCUAGCGAUAGGCCUAACACAUGCAAGUCAGGGGCAUCACAUGAGGUAGCAAUACUGAUGGUGGCGACCGGCGCACGGGUGAGUAACACGUAUGCAACCUACCUUCCACACGGGGAUAACCCGGAGAAAUCCGGACUAAUACCCGAUAAUACAGGGGUCCCGCAUGGGAAUAUUUGUUAAAGAUUUAUUGGUAGAAGAUGGGCAUGCGUUCCAUUAGUUAGUUGGUGAGGUAACGGCUCACCAAGGCGACGAUGGAUAGGGGAACUGAGAGGUUUAUCCCCCACACUGGAACUGAGACACGGUCCAGACUCCUACGGGAGGCAGCAGUGAGGAAUAUUGGUCAAUGGAGGCAACUCUGAACCAGCCAAGUCGCGUGAAGGAUGAAGGUCUUAUGGAUUGUAAACUUCUUUUAUACAGGAAUAAAUUGAGUCACGUGUGGCUUUUUGCAUGUACUGUAUGAAUAAGGAUCGGCUAACUCCGUG
RNAcentral lists this ribosomal RNA (489 nucleotides) under uncultured bacterium. RNAcentral's name for it is "bacterial SSU rRNA". It matches the Rfam family "Bacterial small subunit ribosomal RNA", at positions 28 to 507 of the family's 1533-position model. The record is from RNAcentral.